This 644-nucleotide ribosomal RNA is filed under the name uncultured Psychromonas sp. RNAcentral's name for it is "bacterial SSU rRNA". It matches the Rfam family "Bacterial small subunit ribosomal RNA", at positions 338 to 974 of the family's 1533-position model. The record is from RNAcentral. Lineage: Bacteria; Pseudomonadati; Pseudomonadota; Gammaproteobacteria; Alteromonadales; Psychromonadaceae.
CCUACGGGAGGCAGCAGUGGGGAAUAUUGCACAAUGGGCGCAAGCCUGAUGCAGCCAUGCCGCGUGUGUGAAGAAGGCUUUCGGGUUGUAAAGCACUUUCAGCGAGGAGGAAAGGGUGUACUUUAAUAGAGUGCAUCUGUGACGUUACUCGCAGAAGAAGCACCGGCUAACUCCGUGCCAGCAGCCGCGGUAAUACGGAGGGUGCGAGCGUUAAUCGGAAUUACUGGGCGUAAAGCGCGCGUAGGCGGUUAAUUAAGUCAGAUGUGAAAUCCCAGGGCUCAACCUUGGAACUGCAUUUGAAACUGGUUAACUAGAGUUUUGUAGAGGGUGGUAGAAUUUCAGGUGUAGCGGUGAAAUGCGUAGAGAUCUGAAGGAAUACCAGUGGCGAAGGCGGCCACCUGGACAAUAACUGACGCUGAGGCGCGAAGGCGUGGGGAGCAAACGGGAUUAGAUACCCCGGUAGUCCACGCAGUAAACGAUGUCUAUUAGAAUUUUGUGGCUAUAUGCCGUGGGAUUCAAAGCUAACGCAUUAAAUAGACCGCCUGGGGAGUACGGCCGCAAGGUUAAAACUCAAAUGAAUUGACGGGGGCCCGCACAAGCGGUGGAGCAUGUGGUUUAAUUCGAUGCAACGCGAAGAACCUUAC